This is a long non-coding RNA of Hemicordylus capensis (graceful crag lizard), 905 nucleotides long. RefSeq lists it as uncharacterized. The record is from RefSeq and is a predicted model, not a curated record. NCBI's taxonomy places the organism in Eukaryota, Metazoa, Chordata, Lepidosauria, Squamata, Cordylidae. The transcript has 2 exons.
GAGAGUGUAGAGGCCCCGGACUUCGGCCCUGAAGUCUAGGGGUAAGAGCGCCACUGCCAGGUUCAUUAUGAAAAAGAAUGUGUGAAAGGAAUUGAAAUGCAAUCCAGUUUGGUAAAGGCUUUGUUAGUAUUAAUUGUAAAGAUGGCACUGUCACUUUAAAAAGGAAAGCCUGGGAAAAGGGAGGGAAAAACCCCAGAAUAGUUCUGGUGUUGGCCUGGGAAGAGAGCAGCAAGUUUAUAAAAGUAUCUGCUGACUGCUGAGCUGUGAAUCAAUAAAUUUGAUUCCCUCCUGCCCCACAAUCUCCUUGCAUUGCGGUGUAAUAAAUGCACCUGCACUGCACCAAACUACAGUUCCCAGGAUGUGUGUGUGGCACGACUAUGGAGACUAAGGAAAUAAUUGCUUACCUAAGAGCACCUCAUCAAUUCAUAGUUAAGGUCAGAGACCGAAAUAGAACUGAACUGAAGUUUUCAUGCGUAAAGAGAAAUUCCUAUUCAUUUCUCAGUUCAAGGGCCUGGCUGUUUGCCUACCUCUGCUACUAGGAUCCAUGACCCAUAAGAUCAACCAAAAUACUUCCCUUGCCAUUUUUCAUCAAAUCCUGACAACAACUGUACCCGGCGCAGAAUUUUUAGUAGCUGCAUCUCCACUCUAGUUUUAGAAGCAGUGUAAAAUAUUUUUAUUCAAAUUGGCUUUUGGUAGCCAGGGAUAUGGUAGGAUAGAGAAAGCUGGGGUUUAAUCAAUGUAAUUGGGAGUUCUAUAAUUAACAUAUAGUUAAUUACAAUAAUUAACCCCUUGGGAAGGGGUGGACUAUAAAUCAAAUUAAAUAAAUGUAUUAGCGAAUGCAAACAUUGGUUACAAGAUUUCAGCCAAGUCUAGUGCAAAGAAAAUAUAGAAAUAUUACACACAUA